ACGAGAGGCCCAAACGUUAUUCGGAUUUACUGGGCUUAAAGAGUUCGUAGGCGGCACGGAAAGUGGGGUGUGAAAUCCCUCGGCUCAACCGAGGAACUGCGCUCCAAACUAUCGUGCUAGAGGGGGAUAGAGGUAAGCGGAACUGAUGGUGGAGCGGUGAAAUGCGUUGAUAUCAUCAGGAACACCGGAGGCGAAGGCGGCUUACUGGGUCCUUUCUGACGCUGAGGAACGAAAGCUAGGGGAGCAAACGGGAUUAGAUACCCCGGUAGUCCUAGCCGUAAACGGUGAGCACUGGACCGGAGCUCUGCACAGGGUUUCGGUCGUAGCGAAAGUGUUAAGUGCUCCGCCUGGGGAGUAUGGUCGCAAGGCUG
RNAcentral lists this ribosomal RNA (371 nucleotides) under uncultured bacterium. RNAcentral describes it as "bacterial SSU rRNA". It matches the Rfam family "Bacterial small subunit ribosomal RNA", at positions 525 to 896 of the family's 1533-position model. The record is from RNAcentral.